This 221-nucleotide unclassified non-coding RNA is filed under the name rhizosphere metagenome. RNAcentral describes it as "partial ribosomal RNA internal transcribed spacer region". The record is from RNAcentral.
GAAAAUUACUGGCGAGGGUUGUAGCUGGCCUUUCGGGGCAUGUGCACACCUGAGCCUUUAAUCCACACACACCUGUGAACCUAAUGUAAGGGCCCGGUAAAAAAAGGCCCCUACGUCUUAUCAUCAACCCCAUGUGUAAUAGAAUGUAAAUCAAUGUCCUCGCCUUUAAAAGCGUUGAUAAAAAAACUUAUACAACUUUCAACAACGGAUCUCUUGGCUCU